This is a non-coding RNA of Aggregatibacter actinomycetemcomitans D11S-1, 63 nucleotides long. The record is from Rfam. Lineage: Bacteria; Pseudomonadati; Pseudomonadota; Gammaproteobacteria; Pasteurellales; Pasteurellaceae.
CGUGCGGUGUCAGGGAUUGCUUCUGCGAUUGGCUUGAUAGCGGCAUGGCUUCAAAUUUGAGGU